UGAACCACCCCAGGCCCUUUGCACCUGCUAUUCCCUCUCCUCAGCAUGCUCUGCCCCAGACAAUUGCAGUGCUAACUUACUUCCUUCAGGUUUCACUCAGAAAUGACUUUCUCAGUGGGGUCUCCCAUGACCAUUCUAUUUAAGAUUUCAACUACUUUGCCCGCAUUUCACUUCCCCUCCCUUGAUCUUUUCUUCCAAGCACUCACUGCCCUCUCACACACUGUAUCUUUUACUUAUUUAUCUUGUUCAGUUUCUGCCUGCCUCACCACAGUGUACAUUUCACAAGGGCAGGGAUUUUGUCUGUUUUGUUGAUUGCUGUAGCCCUGGCAUCUUGAGCAGUGCCAGCACCUGGUAGCAUUAAAUAAAUAUUUACUGAAUGAAUGAGUGGCUUCGUGCUUAAAAGCAAGAAGAGAGACCUUCAUAGAGAAGUAGGAAAAUGAAAUGUUGCACAGAUAAAGGGCCAUGUAAUGAGAGAGAGAGAGAGAGAGCAAGAGAAAGAGCAAACAAUUAAGGAGCAGCAGUGGCUUCCUGCAGGGGAGACCAAUGCCUUCUGUCCUCUGCGGAAACAGCUUGGCAUUCUUCCAAUUGAUGAAUGGCAUGGACCAGGAGCACCAGUUAUCUUCAGCUUCUGAGCAUCCGAAUAAAUAAACAUACAAAUGCCUAACAUAAAAUAAAUUCAAAUUACAAACGAGAAAACCAAUCUAGGUUACCAGCAAGUCCUAUGACUUGAUGUGGAGGCCUGGAAGUGCAUCCUUGAACCUUGCAAUGCAGUGAGCCAAAGAGCGAUAAGAGGCCACAUGAAUAACUGGGCCAGUGACAAGACACAUGUCCUCCUCCUUGCGGGUAUACACCAGAAUGCCCUGCAUCCAGCGAAUGCUCAAAAAGUGUUGGUGGAAGUGACAGAAUUCCAUCAUCAUUAAACACAACCGGUGUUGCAGUUGACAAUGGCAUUGAAGCAGGUGAAAAAUCAGUACAGCAGCUUCUGUCUUGGAAGAGUUUGCAGCCUCCUGAAGAGGGUUUACAGGUAAAAAACGACCCAGGCUGAUAGGGCCGCUACCAUUUGGAAAGUGACAAGAGGAAGAGAGAGAAUGAAACAAAAGUAAGCACUGGCUCUCAGCUUCUACCUGAAGAGACAAACAUUGCUUUCACUUACAUUUCACUGGCCAAAUCAGACCCAUGGCAACAAUUGAGUUCAAAAGCAUAAGGAGGUAUCUGGAAGGAAGAGAAUCAGAAAAUUUCUGAUGAGCCUCACUGACUACCUUCAGGGCAAAAAGGAAGAGAGGCACUCCAGAUCAGAGAUCUGCAUUGGAAACUCCUUGAGAACCAGAAGGGUAUGCUAUAUUUUUGUAACUGUGAGUAGCACAGAAAGACUGAAGCCCAAAUAAACUUCCUUUAUUCAAUAUU
Molecule: non-coding RNA, 1404 nt
Filed under: Pongo abelii (Sumatran orangutan)
Lineage: Eukaryota; Metazoa; Chordata; Mammalia; Primates; Hominidae
Source: RNAcentral